RNAcentral lists this long non-coding RNA (3873 nucleotides) under Brassica napus (rape). RNAcentral's name for it is "long non-coding RNA (BNAP_LNC015839)". The record is from RNAcentral. Lineage: Eukaryota; Viridiplantae; Streptophyta; Magnoliopsida; Brassicales; Brassicaceae.
AUUAGCUCAUUCUCGAGCUUGGCUUCUUCUCGUUCGAGAUUGUUUUGGGAAUCGAGGUCUUCUUCGUCAUCGGUGUCGUCGGAUUUGAAGAGGAGGUCGUCUAGGGAUUGGGAGAGGAAAGCGGAGCUUGGGGGACGGAUUUGGAGGCGGCCGAGUAGGGUUUGGAGUAGUAGGUUGUUGUUGUUGUUUCCGUUGAAGGAGCUCAUGGUUGGUGCGUGUGGUGGCGAAUCGAUCUUCUUCUUCUUCGACUACUUUUUCGUCGUGGUUAUCGUAGGGAGAGGCCACUCGGGUUUUAGAGAUAGGAAAGGGUUUUUGUUCAACGAAGACUGCAAUUACGAAAAAUAUCAGUUUUAGUCUUUUAUUAGAUAUAAACGCCGUCAGACAGUAAUUUCAGAAAAAAAAUGUAAGGCUAAAAUGAUAUAUGUUGUUGACUUGUAGGCCGAAAUUUAUUUUUUUUUUAAUUUUUCAAAAGAUUAAAUAACCUAUAAAAUUACAUUAAAAUGUUAAAUAAUUAGUUUAUAAUUUUUUAUAAAAUAAUAUUAAAAUUAAAAUAAAAUAAGUAAUAUAUUUUUAUUUGUAUUAAUCGAUACAAAAUACUAAAUAAUUAAAUAAUAAAACUGAUUCAUUUUAAUUUGAAAUUGAAAAUACAAUAUUAACUGCAAUAAAUUAUAAUUCCUCACCAGCAAAUGUGAAUUAGAGGAAACAAAUACUUUUUUAAGUGUUAUUUAUGAUGAAUUAUGAUAUCAGGGAUAGUGUAUACUGUAUUUGCAAACUUUGAAGCAUAUAGAAAUAGAGUAUUUUGGUUGAAUUGGAACUAUCUUAAUUUAGAACAGAAGAAACUUAUUAAUUUUGUCUCGCUAAUUAGUUUAUUCGAUAAUUAGUUCACUAAGUUUCUAUGUAGAAAUUGGAGUAUUAUGUUAGUAAGAAGCAUAUUGAAGUAAAGUAUUUUUUUUGUCAUUUACGUAAAAUUCAGAAUCAUAUAGAAGCCAAAAAACAAUAAUCUACUAUGGAUUUAAGAAACGAAACACUUUCAACAAUUUAUCAAUAUGGGAAAAAUUACUCAAGAAUAAAAAUGAAGAACAAACAAAAUGGGUACAAUACCAACUUUCUUAGUUUCUUUGACAAUUUUUUCGGCAUCAUCUACCGGAUUCAACAAAAGGACAUACACAAAUACAUUCUUUUGAGAACCCUUAACAUAUAUAUAUAUGUAAGUAUUUAUACUUUUGUAUAUCACAUCUUUGAUGAAACUGUUCAUGAUCCCCAUCGCUUUACCCGAGAUUCCGAUAUCGGGAUGAACCUGCUUCAGGACCUUGAAGAUGUAGAUCUUGUACGUCUCCACGCUCUUCUUCGAUUUCUUCUUCUUCUUGUCGCUUCCUCCUUCCUUCGAGAUCUUCUUCUCCGCCUUUGGACGCUUCUCCGCCGGUGAUUUCUCGGCUGGCUUCUUCUCCGCCGGUUUCUUCUCUGCCGCCUUGGGUGCCAUUAUCGAUUGAUUGAGUUUGGUGAAGAGAGGGUAAAUUGUUUAAUGGAAAGAUGCGUCUGUGAUUGAAAUUAUUCGAGGAGCAGAUUUUCUUAUAUAGAAGCGUGUGCUCGCUCUUAUUGGUUAUCUGUGCGGCACGCGGAUUGCUGACGUGGCCUAGAUCUGAAGACUUUGAAUGAACGGACAAGAUCUCUCAUAGCUCUAUACUUCUUUCUUUAGUCAAGCUCAUGGGCUCUUCUAACAUCUUGAUGGGCUUCUGUUUUAUGACGACCCACGAACUUGCCCGGUCCAUUACUAAUGUGGUAACAUCUUCGAAUUAUACGUUUCGACACUAAUUACAUUUUAUUUGAGUGUCUUACCAUCUUCUCAUAUACCUUGUCAGAUUCGCAUUAUCGUCCUUGUAGCGGAAACUGAAAUUACAGUUCAGCGGCAGCAGUAUUGGAAAAUGAGUGAUUCAUCAAGACAAGAGCAUACAAAAACAAACAAGGGGAGAGCUCAAAGCUUUUGGGUUCAAUGACCAUAAUCAUGUGUAAUCUUUGCUCUGUUCACCAACAUGUAUUGUAAAUUUGGAGAAGAAACAACUUCAGGUGAUUUUCACCCAUGGGUUUACUGGUUUAAAUAGAACGGAACAGAAUCCGUAACGCGUUAUUCUUUUUUUGUCCUGAGUUGUCUGUCCACACAUAUCUGAAAUCUUCCCGAGCAAUGUGACCUCUCCCUGCCAAACCGCUCCUAGAAAUUAGGCCCUGCCAAUUCAACAAGAACCAUGUAAAUGGACUGAUCUGAUUCAAUCUUUUGCGAUAUCUAAACACAAACAAUAAAGGUGCAGUGAAAAUCUAAAGUGAAACAAGGUUAUAAAUUAACAGAUACUUUGAAAAAAUGGUGAUGAACUGCACUAUAGACUAGAUUAUCACACAGCAACUCUAAUGGUUACUUUCUUAGAACUUCCAUUAAGAAAUGUAAUAUACCUGGACAUCUAUGGCCAUCAUAUGAAGAUUUAUAAAACAAUGACAUCUAAGGUUCUUGGGCAUAGUACUAAAGAAAUUAUAGAUCAUCAAAUAUUGUUUUCUUGGCAAGAUAAUACCACCUGAGAACUGUAGCGAACUGUGUAAGAUAGCAAUAGACCAAGUCUCACUAUUCACAUUGUGAACUAAUUUGCGGAAGCAGCAGUAAAGCCAAGCGAAGUACAACAAUUAAUAAACGCAGCCUUUGAAAGAACAUAACCAGAUUGCAAUAAACGAAACAUGGAUUUUGAUCAUACAUGGCAGGCAUACAAUGUCAAGAAAACUUGCAAAGAUUCUAACAUUAUAUGAAAAGAAUUAAUUGAUCAUAUAUAACACCGGUGUGUCCUGACCAUGACCAUAUUCGAGUCACAUAGGCAACAAAACACUUGGCAAGUCUGCAACUACAUUGAAGAAACAGCAUGUGCACUGUUGGAAAUGAUCAAACGCUCAGAAAGCUACAGGCUUUUGACCUUGAGUAAAUUUGAUUUCAAAACAGCAUUAAAGGCAGGUAGCUAACCAAGCAUGUAUCCGUUUUAUGACUAACUAAACAAUCAUCCCAAACAUAUGAGCCUUGUUCUAUCUCUCGCUAAACUCAUCCUCUAUACAUGACCCAAAACUUUAAUCAGACAUUCUACAGAAUCCAAGUAACAUUACAAAGUACGGUCAACAACAUUCAAUGGGGAGGUCAUAAAAAAACCAACCUUGAGGAACCAAUGUUGAUGUUCCUGUGAAGAACCCUACCACGAUCACCAUCUCCACCAUCAAUCAACUCUCUCAAACCACCCAAACUCUCCACCUCCUCCUCCUCCUCUUUCACCUCCUUCUUCUCCUUACCUCCACCGCGACUCGGCAGCAACUUCACAGGCAACCUCUCGAAGUAAUUCCCGUAGAUAUACUCAGGAGUGUACCCAUUCUCCUCAUCGAAAAGCAUGAUAUGCCCGUGCCACUCCCACACACGAUAAUCCGACUCCUCAUCCUCGUGAAACCCAACGCAGAUGUGGUGCUCGUUGACCGUCACGGCCUGCCCCGAAUUGGGCUUCAGGGAAUCGAUUCGACCCGAGACGAUGACGCGGAUUAGCUCAUUCUCGAGCUUGGCUUCUUCUCGUUCGAGAUUGUUUUGGGAAUCGAGGUCUUCUUCGUCAUCGGUGUCGUCGGAUUUGAAGAGGAGGUCGUCUAGGGAUUGGGAGAGGAAAGCGGAGCUUGGGGGACGGAUUUGGAGGCGGCCGAGUAGGGUUUGGAGUAGUAGGUUGUUGUUGUUGUUUCCGUUGAAGGAGCUCAUGGUUGGUGCGUGUGGUGGCGAAUCGAUCUUCUUCUUCUUCGACUACUUUUUCGUCGUGGUUAUCGUAGGGAGAGGCCACUCGGGUUUUAGAGAUAGGAAAGGGUUUUUGUUCAACG